RNAcentral lists this ribosomal RNA (229 nucleotides) under uncultured bacterium. RNAcentral's name for it is "partial 16S ribosomal RNA". It matches the Rfam family "Bacterial small subunit ribosomal RNA", at positions 109 to 334 of the family's 1533-position model. The record is from RNAcentral.
AGUAACACGUGGAUGAUCUGCCCUUGAGUUGGGGAUAGCCCAUGGAAACAUGGAGUAAUACCGAAUACGAUCCGGACCUUAUGGGGACCGGAGGAAAAGCGCUUCGGCGCUGCUCGAGGAUGAGUCCGCGGCUGAUUAGUUAGUUGGUGGGGUAAAGGCCUACCAAGGCAGCGAUCAGUAGCCGGCCUGAGAGGGUGAACGGCCACACUGGGACUGAGAUACGGCCCAG